CUGCCAUCCCAGGCCAUGGCUUUUGGCCCUAGGGUAAAUAUGUCCCUGGUUCAAGCUACAUUUGGUAAGGUUUUAAACCAUGUAGACCUCAUUAAUGUUUGAUGUCGGACCAUCUUAUGGACUCCUUGCCCAGAUGCUUGCCCAAGUGGUUAAAAUCUAUGGUAACUGGAUCCAAUAGACUGAUUUGUCAUGUAUAGUUAUCAAAGAAAAGGUAAUGCUUGUCUACACUGUACAUUCGCCAUCAGAUAUAAUGGAGCAGCCGAGGUGCUCAUAAAUAUCUGAACAUGCACCCUAGCGCCUUGACAAUAGAGGUGUGUUCAGAUUUUUUUGAGCACCUUGACCACUCCAAUAUAUCUGAUGGAGACUAUAACUGCAUUUGAUAUACUGCCAUUGGUAAAAAGGAUUAGGAACAAUUUGCUUGCAUGUUAUCAUAGUCUAAUAAAACAUGGUCUUCUCUUCCCAGAGUGACACAGGCCUACGUCACAAUAACAUUGCCACUUUAUAUAGCGCUAUCGCUAUCGCAUAUUAUCAUAUAGCGCUGUCGCAUGAUGAUGUAGGCUUGUGUCAGUCACGUGAUCACGAAAAGACGGGAAGAGAGUACCAGGCGGAGUAUAUUAUUAUACCAUGCAUGUUAUCAUUGUUUUUAUUACUUCUAUUGAAGAACAGAUGUUAUGUUAUAAAAAUGUUGUACAAUUUCAUAUCUAUCAUAUAUCAUAUCCAUCAUAAAUUAUGUAUCUUUAUAAAGAAGCAUGGCAUGUAAAAAAAUAAAACGUAGAAGUAUUAAUUUUUAGUUUAUAUUAUAUUACGCCAAUAAAAAAAAAUUAACAGUAUACAUAGAAGUAAUGCAUGGUUAUUUUUUAGAUCAAGUCUUCCAAGUUUUAUGUUGGACUAUAUAUUUUAGUGUCACCUUGAUUUAAUUUAUUUCUUAUUGUUAAUAUGUUUCAUGCCAAGUAACUAUACAUAGUUGGUAAUUAAAUACAAAUAGGGACAAAGAGAAUUUGAUAUAGAGGCAGAUUGUCAAAGUCAGUUUUGUAUUUUGUUUGUGGCUACAAAAUAUAACUUGACAAUCUGCCUCUAUACUAAAUUCUCUUUGAUAGGGAUAUAAACCGUACAAUCUGGUUGGAACUUAAUUAUUACUUUUUUUUAUACUGUCAUGAAAAUAAGUAGUUCUUAGUAACUUUAAAAAUAGACUUUAUUAUGUACUAAUACAGAACAUAACUUUAACAAUUUAGGAUUUGUAAUUAAUAAUUAUUUAAUUAUACUCAGUCAAAUGGGCCACCAUGGAACCAUUUCACAUUGACGCACAUGACAUUUCUUACGAACAAUAUUACAAUAUAACUUUGACAUACACCUUGGCAAAAAAGAGUAGAAAUUAAAAAGUGGCAACACUGUAGUGCUGUCCCGUUUUCUUAUAUAUAUUGGUUUGUAAGGGACGACACUACAGUGUUGCCACUUUUUAAUUUCUACUUUUUUUUGCCAAGCUCUAGUUGCAGUGAACCAGUAUGAACAUAUGUUUAAACCUAGUAAUUCAGAUCACUUUAUUUGUGAUUUAGUGCAAACAAUACCUCUCCCUUUCUAAGGAAAGAGAUACUAUGCACAUAAAGGUAUUUCAAUUUCAUUUGUCAGCUUUUAAACUACAUCGUACAUCACAUGUGUAUUGUAUGUAUAGGUAGUUAAAAAUGAAAAUUGUGUUAAUUAGUGCUUUAAUUGUAAGUGCCUUGGACUCUGCAUACAUUUUUACAAGGAGAAAUGGAAUAUUUACAUUUACAUUAUAUUAUAUUGUAUUAUUAUAGGUACCGAUUUCUUGACAACACAAUCAGUGCCUUAAUAUGUUUGUCUAAAUCUAAAUGUAAGUAACUUUAUAUCAUGGACGUAUACAUUUUAUUUUUGACUACAUAAGGUAGAUAUAUUAAGUUUUAUCACAGACAACUUGAGAAAGAAACAUGUGUGCGAGUUUCAGUAGUGAUGUGAAUAUUUAAGUUUAUGUUUAUUCAUUCUCAUAAAUGCAUGCUAUUUUUACAGUAAUAAACAACAGUUUAUGGUAUAUUUAAUUUAAAGACAAAACUUUUUUGGUUUAAUUAUGUUUUAUUAUUGAAAUGUUGAAUUGUUGAUAAAAGUCCCAAUGAUAAAAUUGUGUAUUUUAUCAGUAGAAAGACGCAAAAAUAAAUUUCCCAUUGGUGAACAAUUCUUAGCGCCUAAUUUUUUCAAAUUUGCCCCUAUUAUUAGUGACAGAAAUGGUUUGCCAGAAUAUACUUAGAUUAUUCUUGGGGAAAAACAGCUAAAGUAGGAGAAAAUUACAAAGUACACUUGUUAUGUAAAAUUUUCGUCGUUCAAAUCACGGUAAAGUUCUCUUAAAAGUAUUUGUUUGCACAUUGGUGGAUUGGGUGUCGUACUCUGUCCUCUAUCUAAUGGUUGUUCAUAGUUAUAGUUAUUAUUGUAUACUAAUAAAUCAUUUUUAUUGAA
This is a long non-coding RNA of Cydia splendana, 2463 nucleotides long. RefSeq lists it as uncharacterized. The transcript is spliced from 2 exons. Lineage: Eukaryota; Metazoa; Arthropoda; Insecta; Lepidoptera; Tortricidae. The record is from RefSeq and is a predicted model, not a curated record.